UGGGGAAUAUUGCACAAUGGGCGAAAGCCUGAUGCAGCGACGCCGCGUGAGGGAUGACGGCCUUCGGGUUGUAAACCUCUUUCAGCAGGGACGAAGCGCAAGUGACGGUACCUGCAGAAGAAGCACCUGCUAACUACGUGCCAGCAGCCGCGGUAAUACGUAGGGUGCAAGCGUUGUCCGGAAUUACUGGGCGUAAAGAGUUCGUAGGCGGUUUGUCGCGUCGUUUGUGAAAACCAGCAGCUCAACUGCUGGCUUGCAGGCGAUACGGGCAGACUUGAGUACUGCAGGGGAGACUGGAAUUCCUGGUGUAGCGGUGAAAUGCGCAGAUAUCAGGAGGAACACCGGUGGCGAAGGCGGGUCUCUGGGCAGUAACUGACGCUGAGGAACGAAAGCGUGGGUAGCGAACAGG
RNAcentral lists this ribosomal RNA (409 nucleotides) under bacterium. Its description in RNAcentral is "partial 16S ribosomal RNA". It matches the Rfam family "Bacterial small subunit ribosomal RNA", at positions 355 to 776 of the family's 1533-position model. The record is from RNAcentral.